AUGGCUGCAGUUCGUCCCCAUCCCUUUCGCUCUAACCCCGCCAAAGCCGCCGCUCCUGCAGUCCUUCGGCGUCAUCCAAUCUCACGGCAGACUCCCGCGGUAGGAGAGGAGAGUAUGAACGAUGUUCCUUGCAGCGGCAGGGAUGAGGAGCCCUUUCUGUUUCCAUCUCCUUUCUUUCAUGGAUGUCGUGUCUUCUUUGCCCGUCAGAGCCCAGAUCUGUCUAUUGUUUGUACUGACGUCCUGACUGGUGGUGAUUCUGUUCAGGGAGAAGAAAAUAUACAAUUCAUUGUGGCACUGUUAACGCUAGCAUCAGGAGGUUGUUCAUGUCAUCAAAAUGUGCAACCAGAAUGA
This 351-nucleotide ribosomal RNA is filed under the name Triticum aestivum (bread wheat). RNAcentral's name for it is "partial small subunit ribosomal RNA". The record is from RNAcentral. Lineage: Eukaryota; Viridiplantae; Streptophyta; Magnoliopsida; Poales; Poaceae.